This 434-nucleotide ribosomal RNA is filed under the name uncultured Clostridium sp. Its description in RNAcentral is "partial 16S ribosomal RNA". It matches the Rfam family "Bacterial small subunit ribosomal RNA", at positions 341 to 792 of the family's 1533-position model. RNAcentral also lists the same sequence under 1 other name. The record is from RNAcentral. Lineage: Bacteria; Bacillati; Bacillota; Clostridia; Eubacteriales; Clostridiaceae.
ACGGAAGGCAGCAGUGGGGAAUAUUGCACAAUGGGCGAAAGCCUGAUGCAGCGACGCCGCGUGAGUGAUGAAGUAUUUCGGUAUGUAAAGCUCUAUCAGCAGGGAAGAAAAUGACGGUACCUGACUAAGAAGCCCCGGCUAACUACGUGCCAGCAGCCGCGGUAAUACGUAGGGGGCAAGCGUUAUCCGGAUUUACUGGGUGUAAAGGGAGCGUAGGUGGCAAGGCAAGCCAGAAGUGAAAAUCCGGGGCUCAACCCCGGAACUGCUUUUGGAACUGUCUAGCUAGAGUGCAGGAGAGGUAAGCGGAAUUCCUAGUGUAGCGGUGAAAUGCGUAGAUAUUAGGAGGAACACCAGUGGCGAAGGCGGCUUACUGGACUGUAACUGACACUGAGGCUCGAAAGCGUGGGGAGCAAACAGGAUUAGAUACCCUGGUA